Molecule: ribosomal RNA, 241 nt
Filed under: uncultured bacterium
Lineage: Bacteria
Description: partial 16S ribosomal RNA
Source: RNAcentral
CUGCUGCCUCCCGUAGGAGUCUGGGCCGUAUCUCAGUCCCAAUGUGGCCGGCCAACCUCUCAGUCCGGCUACUGAUCGUCGCCUUGGUGGGCCGUUACCUCACCAACUAGCUAAUCAGACGCGAGGCCAUCUUCCAGCGAUAAAUCUUUGACAUCAGUGCCAUGCGACACCAAUGCGUCAUGCGGUAUUAGCAGUCGUUUCCAACUGUUGUCCCCCUCUGGAAGGCAGGUUCCUCACGUCG